AGAGUUUGAUCAUGGCUCAGGACGAACGCUGGCGGCGUGCUUAACACAUGCAAGUCGAGCGGAAAGGCUCCUUCGGGGGUACUCGAGCGGCGAACGGGUGAGUAACACGCGAGUAAUCUGCCCUGUGCUCUGGGAUAGCCACCGGAAACGGUGAUUAAUACCGGAUAUGACGCUGUCACGCAUGUGGUGGUGUGGAAAGUUUUUUCGGCGCAGGAUGUGCUCGCGGCCUAUCAGCUUGUUGGUGAGGUAAUGGCUUACCAAGGCUUUGACGGGUAGCCGGCCUGAGAGGGUGACCGGUCACACUGGGACUGAGACACGGCCCAGACUCCUACGGGAGGCAGCAGUGGGGAAUAUUGGACAAUGGGCGGAAGCCUGAUCCAGCAACGCCGCGUGAGGGAUGACGGCCUUCGGGUUGUAAACCUCUUUCAGUACCGACGAAGCUUUUCUUUUGGGAGGGUGACGGUAGGUACAGAAGAAGGACCGGCCAACUACGUGCCAGCAGCCGCGGUAAUACGUAGGGUCCGAGCGUUGUCCGGAAUUAUUGGGCGUAAAGGGCUCGUAGGCGGUUUGUCGCGUCGGGAGUGAAAACCAUGGGCUUAACUCAUGGCUUGCUUUCGAUACGGGCAGACUAGAGGUAUGCAGGGGAGAAUGGAAUUCCUGGUGUAGCGGUGAAAUGCGCAGAUAUCAGGAGGAACACCGGUGGCGAAGGCGGUUCUCUGGGCAUUACCUGACGCUGAGGAGCGAAAGUGUGGGGAGCGAACAGGAUUAGAUACCCUGGUAGUCC
This 784-nucleotide ribosomal RNA is filed under the name uncultured bacterium. Its description in RNAcentral is "bacterial SSU rRNA". It matches the Rfam family "Bacterial small subunit ribosomal RNA", at positions 8 to 796 of the family's 1533-position model. The record is from RNAcentral.